GCUCGUAGUUGGAUUUCUGACGGACCGUUGCGGCCCGCUGUCUUUACGACAGUGCGUGCUGUGGCGAGUUUGUCAUCCUUCCAGUAAGCUAUGCCUACCGUUCAGUUCGGCCGGGUAUAUGCAAGCUGGAUCUAUUACUUUGAAAAAAUUAGAGUGUUUAAAGCAGGCUUAUGCUGUGAAUACAUUAGCAUGGAAUAAUAUUUUAGGACUUUGGAUCUAUUUUGUUGGUUUUUGGAGCUGAAGUAAUGAUUGACAGGGAUAGUUGGGGGUGCUAGUAUUCCAUGGCCAGAGGUGAAAUUCUUGGAUUCAUGGAAGACUAACUUCUGCGAAAGCAUUCACCAAGGAUGUCUUCUUUAAUCAAGAACGAAAGUUGGGGGGAUCGAAGACGAUCAGAUACCGUCGUAGUCUCAACCAUAAACUAUACCGUCUAAGGAUCAGUGAUCGUUGCAUUCGAUUUCAUUGGCACUUUGUGAGAAAUCAAAGACUUUGGGUUCCGGGGGGG
RNAcentral lists this ribosomal RNA (502 nucleotides) under uncultured eukaryote. RNAcentral's name for it is "SSU rRNA". It matches the Rfam family "Eukaryotic small subunit ribosomal RNA", at positions 626 to 1122 of the family's 1831-position model. The record is from RNAcentral.